GGUUUGAUUAUGGCUCAGAUUGAACGCUGGCAGGAUGCUUUACACAUGCAAGUCGAACAACCUUUGGUUCGGUCUGGUAGUGAACGGGUGAGUAUCGGAACGUGCCUGGUAGCGGGGGAUAACUACGCGAAAGCGUAGCUAAUGCCACAUACGCCCUUCGGGGAAAAGCGGGGACCUUCGGGCCUCGCACUAUUAGAGCGGCCGAUAUCGGAUUAGCUAGUUGGUGGAAGUAACGGCUCACCAAGGCGACGAGUCCGUAAGCUGGUUUUGAAGGAGGACGACCAGCCACACUGGGACUGAGACACGGCCGGAACUCCUACGGGGAGGCAGCAGUGGGGAAUUUUGGACAAUAGAGGAAACCCUGAUCAGCCAUCCCGCGUGUGCGAUGAAGGCCUUCAGGUUGUAAAGCACUUUUUGGCAGGAAAAAAGCGGCACCGGGAUAAUACCCCGUGCAACUGACGGUACCUGCAGAAUAAGCACCGGCUAACCGUGCCAGCAGCCGCGGUAAUGUACGUAGGGUGCAAGCGUUAAUCGGAAUUACUGGGCGUAAAGCGUGCGCAGGCGGUUCGGAAAGAAAGAUGUGAAAUCCCAGAGCUUAACUUUGGAACUGCAUUUUUAACUACCGAGCUAGAGUGUGUCAGAGGGAGGUGGAAUUCCGCCGUGUAGCAGUGAAAUGCGUAGAUAUGGAGGAACACCGAUGGCGAAGGCAGCCUCCUGGGAUAACACUGACGCUCAUGCACGAAAGCAUUAUGGGGAGCAAACAGGAUUAAGAUACCCUGGUAGUCCACGCCCUAAACGAUGUCAACUAGCUGUUGGGGCCUUCGGGCCUUGAGUAGCGCAACUAACGCGUGAAGUUGACCGCCUGGGGAAGGUACGGUCGCAAAAUUAAAACUCAAAGGGAGUGUGAGGGGACCCGCACAAGCGGUGGAUGAUGUGGAUUAAUUCGAUGCAACGCGAAAACCUUACCUACCCUUGACAUGUCUGGAAUCCCGAAGAGAUUUGGGAGUGCUCGCAAGAGAACCGGAACACAGGUGCUGCAUGGCUGUCGUCAGCUCGUGUCGUGAAGAUGUUGGGUUAAGUCCCGCAACUUGAGCACAACCCUUGUCAUUAGUUGCUACGAAGGGCACUCUAAUGAGACUGCCGGUGACAAACCGGAGGAAGGUGGGGAUGACGUCAAGUCCUCAUGGCCCUUAUAGGUAGGGCUUCACACGUCAUACAAUGGUCGGGACAGAGGGUCGCCAACCCGCGAGGGAGCCAAUCCCAGAAACCCGAUCGUAGUCCGGAUCGCAGUCUGCAACUCGACUGCGUGAAGUCGGAAUCGCUAGUAAUCGCGGAUCAGCAUGUCGCGGUGAAUACGUUCCCGGGUCUUGUACACACCGCCCGUCACACCAUGGGAGUGGGUUUACCAGAAGUAGUUAGCCUAACCGUAAGGAGGAGGCGAUUACCACGGUAGGAUUCAUGACUGGGGUGAAGUCAGCAACUGGAAAUAG
This 1490-nucleotide ribosomal RNA is filed under the name uncultured Bordetella sp. RNAcentral describes it as "partial 16S-23S ribosomal RNA intergenic spacer". It matches the Rfam family "Bacterial small subunit ribosomal RNA". Lineage: Bacteria; Pseudomonadati; Pseudomonadota; Betaproteobacteria; Burkholderiales; Alcaligenaceae. The record is from RNAcentral.